This is a long non-coding RNA of Nanorana parkeri, 252 nucleotides long. RefSeq lists it as uncharacterized. The transcript has 3 exons. NCBI's taxonomy places the organism in Eukaryota, Metazoa, Chordata, Amphibia, Anura, Dicroglossidae. The record is from RefSeq and is a predicted model, not a curated record.
AGGCUUACUGCAGGAAAAGAGAUUACAGAUGUUGUGGUGACGGAAAUAGCCGGGGUGAUCUCUAAAGAUACACUGAAUUCAGUACUGGCUGCUUGUCAGAGUGGAUUAUUUGAGAAACUAGAAACCGUGGUUUUGGGUUUGAUAAAUAAUGGCCACGCAGCAACACAGCUUGUAAACCAACUGCAUGAUAUCAUCCUUGAACGAGAGGAUCUGACCGAUAAACAAAAGGCAGCUAUUGCAGAGAAACUUGCU